This 400-nucleotide ribosomal RNA is filed under the name uncultured Methylobacterium sp. Its description in RNAcentral is "bacterial SSU rRNA". It matches the Rfam family "Bacterial small subunit ribosomal RNA", at positions 1014 to 1415 of the family's 1533-position model. Lineage: Bacteria; Pseudomonadati; Pseudomonadota; Alphaproteobacteria; Hyphomicrobiales; Methylobacteriaceae. The record is from RNAcentral.
UCCUCUUCGGACGCGCCCACACAGGUCCUGCAUGGCUCUCGUCAGCUCGUCUCGUGAGAUGUUGGGUUAAGUCCCGCAACGAGCGCAACCCACGUCCUUAGUUGCCAUCAUUCAGUUGGGCACUCUAGGGAGACUGCCGGUGAUAAGCCGCGAGGAAGGUGUGGAUGACGUCAAGUCCUCAUGGCCCUUACGGGAUGGGCUACACACGUGCUACAAUGGCGGUGACAGUGGGACGCGAAGGAGCGAUCUGGAGCAAAUCCCCAAAAGCCGUCUCAGUUCGGAUUGCACUCUGCAACUCGAGUGCAUGAAGGCGGAAUCGCUAGUAAUCGUGGAUCAGCAUGCCACGGUGAAUACGUUCCCGGGCCUUGUACACACCGCCCGUCACACCAUGGGAGUUGGU